CAAUAGCGUAUAUUAAAGUUGUUGCAGUUAAAAAGCUCGUAGUUGGAUUUCUGGGAGGGUGCCAAUGUCCGCCGACGUGCGUGCGCAGCGGCGCCCUUCCAUCCUUCUGUUAACGCCUCUUGGCAUUCAUUUGCUGGUGGCGGGCUCAGAUAUUUUACCUUGAGAAAAUUAGAGUGUUUCAGGCAGGCUAGGCCGGAAUACAUUAGCAUGGAAUAAUGGAAUAGGACUACGGUCUCUUUGUUGGUUUGAGGGACUGCAGUAAUGAUUAAUAGGGAUAGUUGGGGGCAUUAGUAUUUAAUUGUCAGAGGUGGAAUUCUCGGAUUUGUUAAAGACUAACUUAUGCGAANGNAUUUGCNAAGGAUGUUUNCAUUA
RNAcentral lists this ribosomal RNA (372 nucleotides) under uncultured eukaryote. RNAcentral describes it as "partial 18S ribosomal RNA". It matches the Rfam family "Eukaryotic small subunit ribosomal RNA", at positions 592 to 975 of the family's 1831-position model. The record is from RNAcentral.